This 253-nucleotide ribosomal RNA is filed under the name uncultured bacterium. Its description in RNAcentral is "partial 16S ribosomal RNA". It matches the Rfam family "Bacterial small subunit ribosomal RNA", at positions 524 to 776 of the family's 1533-position model. The record is from RNAcentral.
UACGUAGGGUGCGAGCGUUAAUCGGAAUUACUGGGCGUAAAGCGUGCGCAGGCGGCUUCGCAAGUCAGGCGUGAAAUCCCCGGGCUUAACCUGGGAAUGGCGUCUGAAACUACGGAGCUGGAGUGUAGCAGAGGGAGGUAGAAUUCCACGUGUAGCGGUGAAAUGCGUAGAUAUGUGGAGGAAUACCGAUGGCGAAGGCAGCCUCCUGGGCCAACACUGACGCUCAUGCACGAAAGCGUGGGGAGCAAACAGG